AAAGUCUAAUCUUCCCACUGAUNAAAUUAUUAAAGGGCUGCAGUAUUUUGACUGUGCAAAGGUAGCAUAAUCAUUAGUCUCUUAAUUGGUGACUUGUAUGAAAGAUUGGAUGAAAUAUAUACUGUCUCUAAUUAAUUUAUAAAAUUUAAUUUUUUAGUAAAAAAGCUAAAAUAAGUUUAAAAGACGAGAAGACCCUAUAGAGUUUAAUAAUUUAUUUAAUUAUUAUUAAUAUUUAAAUUUUAAAAUUAAAAUUAAAUAAAUUAUUUUGUUGGGGUGAUAGAAAAAUUAAAUUAACUUUUUUUUUAUUUUAUACAUAAAUUUAUGAAUAGAUGAUCCAUUAAUAAUGAUUAAAAGAAAAAAUUACCUUAGGGAUAACAGCGUAAUUUUUUUUUUUAGUUCAAAUAGGAAAAAAAGUUUGCGACCUCGAUGUUGGAUUAAGAUAAAAUUUAAAUGCAAAAGUUAAAA
Molecule: ribosomal RNA, 465 nt
Filed under: Papilio paris tenggerensis
Lineage: Eukaryota; Metazoa; Arthropoda; Insecta; Lepidoptera; Papilionidae
Description: partial 16S ribosomal RNA
Source: RNAcentral